This 86-nucleotide ribosomal RNA is filed under the name Proboscia alata. RNAcentral's name for it is "partial 5.8S ribosomal RNA". Lineage: Eukaryota; Bacillariophyta; Melosirophyceae; Probosciales; Probosciaceae. The record is from RNAcentral.
UUUGGUACUGGAUAUUUUGGUUUUCCAGUAGAAGAAGGUAGUGAGAAGCAAAAAGCUGGAUUAAAUGCAGAGAUUUCGAACGGGCG